UGGGAUGUAGCUCAGUUGGUAGUGUGCUUGUCUGGCACACAAGAAGCCUUGGGUUUGAAGCCCAGCACCCCAU
This 73-nucleotide transfer RNA is filed under the name Mesocricetus auratus (golden hamster). It matches the Rfam family "tRNA". Rfam says of the family: Transfer RNA (tRNA) molecules are approximately 80 nucleotides in length. Their secondary structure includes four short double-helical elements and three loops (D, anti-codon, and T loops). The record is from Rfam by way of RNAcentral. Lineage: Eukaryota; Metazoa; Chordata; Mammalia; Rodentia; Cricetidae.